AUGGAGACGGACAGCCCGCGGAGCCCGGAGGCGGAGAUCGGGCACCGGGUGGAGGACCUGUGGGAGGUGGCGCAGCCGCAGCUGUCCCCGUCGGAGAAGCUCAACUCCUGCUUCGAGGACAUCCCCGUCGCCGCCUUCCCGCGCACCCACCCCUCGCAAGUGAUCGAGAUACCUUCGGAUGCCAGCCUUGCUGAUACUGUUGAGACAUUAUCCAAAAAUAAAAUUUUGAGCGCACCCAUAAGAAACGUCGAUGCUCCAGAGGAUGCUACUUGGAUAGACAAAUACAUCGGUAUUGUGGAAUUUGCUGGUAUUGCAAUGUGGUUGCUUCAUCAGUCUGAUGCUUCAGGUAACGGAACAGCUGGUUCUGCAGUUGGAUCACCUGUGGCCAAUCUAGCAGCUAGGUUAGGCUCUUUCACAUUCAGAAGAACGUCAUCUGGCAGGGUAGAAACCACCACUGAUUCAGAAUCAGAUGAAGCUGCAUCAGUGGGUGGAAGUUUUUUUGAAACCCUUACUUCCUCUGAGUUCUACAAGAACACAAAGGUUGGCGAUAUCUCUGGAAGCUUCCGAUGGGCGCCAUUUCUUGCCCUGCAGACAUCUGACACAUUCCUCACCAUGCUGCUUCUUCUAUCCAAGUACAGGAUGAAGAGCCUCCCAGUGGUAGAUAUGGGGGGAAAUAAGAUCGAGAAUAUCAUUACACAAUCUUCCGUUGUGCACAUGCUUGCAGAGUGUGUUGGACUUCCUUGGUUUGAAAGCUGGGGAACCAAGAAACUAUCUGAACUGGGCCUUCCUCUGAUGAAGCCAUACAGACUUGUUAAGGUAAAUGAAGACCAGCCAGUCCUAAAAGCCUUCCAACUGAUGAGGGAAAAGGGGGUUGGUGGUGUGCCUGUUAUGAACACAAAUGGAACGAAAGCAAUUGGUAACAUUAGCAUCAGAGAUGUCCAAUAUCUUCUGAGUGCCCCCAAGAUAUACAAACAAUACAGGACAAUCUCAGCCAAGGAUUUCCUUACCGCGGUCCGGCACCAUCUCCAGGAGCAACACGAAGCGUCGCCGUUGCUGCACGACGUGAUCACAUGCAAAAGAGACGACGUGAUCAAGGAAAUCAUACUGAAGCUGGACUCGACCAAGAUCCACAGGAUCUACGUGGUCGACGACAAGGGGGACACCGAGGGGGUGAUCACGCUGAGGGACAUAAUCUCCAAGCUGGUGCACGAGCCACGGCAUUACUUUGGGGAUUUCUUCGACGGCGUCGUUCCCCUACCCGCAAACAGUACCGUCUGA
Molecule: ribosomal RNA, 1278 nt
Filed under: Triticum aestivum (bread wheat)
Lineage: Eukaryota; Viridiplantae; Streptophyta; Magnoliopsida; Poales; Poaceae
Description: partial small subunit ribosomal RNA
Source: RNAcentral